RNAcentral lists this ribosomal RNA (413 nucleotides) under uncultured prokaryote. Its description in RNAcentral is "partial 16S ribosomal RNA". The record is from RNAcentral.
CCCUAUGGGGCGCAUCUUCGAACCGUUCUUUACCACCAAGGAACUGGGCAAAGGAACCGGGUUGGGGCUGGCCACCGUUUACGGUGUCGUUCGGCGGCACCAGGGUAUGAUUCGCAGCUACAGCGAAGUGGGCAAAGGAACGACAUUCAAAAUUUACCUGCCUAUGGUGGAACGUUCCGCCUCGAGCGUAGGGUCCAAGAUCACCGGACGGCCGCGCGGAGGGACAGAGACCAUUUUGGUGGCGGAAGACGAUCUCUCCGUGCGAAGAUUAGCCGUUCGCAUUCUGGAGACUGCCGGUUACACGGUGCUGGCGACCUCCGACGGCAAGGAAGCCCGGCAACUCUUUCAGGAAUACGAGAAACCCAUCGACUUGGUUCUGUUGGAUGUAGUGAUGCCGGAAUUGGCGGGGGGGC